RNAcentral lists this non-coding RNA (146 nucleotides) under Nomascus leucogenys (northern white-cheeked gibbon). Lineage: Eukaryota; Metazoa; Chordata; Mammalia; Primates; Hylobatidae. The record is from Rfam by way of RNAcentral.
GCCAGGUGUGGUGGUGCGCCUGUAGUCCCAGCUACUCAGGAGGCUGAGGUGGGAGAAUCACUUGAGCCCAGGAAGUCAGGGCUGCAGUGAGCCAUGAUUGCGCCACUGCACUCCAGCCUGGGUGACAGAGUGAGACUCUGUCUCAG